GGUAUACAUUUCAUGUAACGUCAGGGGACCACUUUUGGUACAAUUUUGACACAUUUUCUCUUAUACAAUUAAUACUCACAUACGUACAUCAAAUCAAUAAUGAUAUUUUACAAAGACUAUCUUUAGUACUUCCAACUGCACACUUAAAAAAUAAAUCGUACACUGAAGUUAUUUAUAGACCGGCUUCUCUCGUGUUACGUAACUUCCGGUCCGGAGCAUGCUGCGAGGACCCCAUUUGGUACAAAGUGGCGAGACAUCGAUUUUUCAGUUAUUUCCAAAAAUACGAUCAAGAAUGGGACUGAUUUCGUUGGGCACAUCUGGCAACACCAGGACGAGUCCGACAACUUCCUCAUUUCAUAUGCCCGAUAAAUUCUAGAAGGUAAACAACUAGCAUGGUAGGAUUUGUUGCAGUAAUAACAUGAUGCCCAGUAUACCUCUUCCUCAAUAGGUGAAACAAAUUGGUGGACCAUGCAGACUUGACAAAUAAGCAUCCCUUGCCCCUCUGGAAUUUCACUGUCCUGAUGAAGAGUUGAAAAUGGCUCAACAUCAACAUCCAGCUCACCAUGACAUGGCUGAACAUGAUCCUUGCCAAGAGCUGAAGAUGGUACAGCAUCAAUGAUUAUAUCUGAAGGAGAGCAGUGAUGACAAAGCCAGUUUGAAGAAACAAUUAAGCUUAAAUCAACAUCAGUUUGUUCUUGGUAAUUUAGACAGUCCCUGUGGAACCAUCGGUCACAACCAUCGCAACCAACCCAAAGGAUUCCUACUUCUUCAUCAUUGCAAUGACCUCUGAUAUUGCAUACUUGACAGAGGAUCCAAUGAUUGGGACAAAAAUGUCUGCCAAUUCUUGUGGGAUCAGGCCUCCAGUUACUAAGGGAUGUCCUCGUACAAACUGACCGCAUGUGUGGCAAAGAGGAUCAUGAUUACAGGGAUUGUCUCCCCCUGGUCCUGGAAUGGGCAAGGUGUAAUCCGCUUCUGAGGCUGUGAGUCGUGUUUUGUCAAUGGCAUUUGCAUCCAAGGGGACGAUCCCACAUUUCCUGAAUGCAGUUUUGAUAUUAUGUGGGCUGAAUACCCUAUCAACUGCUGAAUGCAGGACCUGUGAAAACCUGGAAAUUGGGCAUUUCACACAGAUUUUUGAAGGUUACCUCCCCUUUCCAAUCAUCAAAUGAGGAUUUGCAUAUCCCAAACUGACUGACAAAUCAGAAAACUGUUUUUUGAGUGGCCGGAAUAAGGCCACAUCCAGGGGCUGCAAUAUGUGUGUUGUGUGUGGAGGCAGGCACAACAACUCGACCCUAUUUUCUCUGGCCUUCUCAAUGAUGUUGAGUGAAAGAUGACUCUCGUAGUUAUCCAUGAUCAGUAGUAAGGGUCUCUGCUUGGAUGCGUGUUUUAGGAAUACCUUGUCAAACCACUUCUCAAACAAAUCAGCAUCCAUGUACCCAUUUGUGGAAGUUCCGAAAAGCCAUUCUUGAGGUAUUCCUGUGAAUAAACAAAAAUGUCCCACCAGGAAACGACUUUUCGAAGAUUAUGAAGGAAGGAAGAACUCUCCCAUCAGCGGACACACAAAUUGUAGCUGUUGUAUGGCAAUAUAUGGAAAAGGAGGAGAGAAGUCUUACCAAGUUUAUGUACAGUCUCCUUCAAUAAUGUGAAGUACUGUGCCAUAACAUUGGGGUUGGCCAUCCUUGCCCGUCCACCAUCAAUGGUCUGAGGCUUCCUCAUGUGUAGGCUAGGAUUUCUGCGGAAAAAUUUCCUCAUCCAUUUAUUUGAUGGACCAGUUGGCCCAAUUACACUUUUCCUUCCUGACUUUUUUAUUAUUUGAGAUAUGAACAUUUUAAUCAUUUUUCGAGAAAGUGGUAAGGACCUCUCUUCGCAAUAUUUAAUGUAUAUUACAAGAUGCUUCUCUUCCUCAGGGGUUAGAACAACGUGAGGUUGUCCCCCUUUGUUCAGAUUUCUGGCAUAUCUCCGCAAAGUCAUGUGAGGUACAUCAUGUUUCGCUGCUGCUCUUCUGAUCGGUGUUCCUUUUUUGAUAUCUGCCAAGGCAUGAGCAAAGUCGCUUUGGUUGUAUUUUUUAUAUUUUGCUGCAAUUAAUAAAUGUGUUAUUUAUUUAUUAAAAAAUAUCUGUUGGA
Long non-coding RNA from Pecten maximus, 2120 nucleotides. RefSeq lists it as uncharacterized. Lineage: Eukaryota; Metazoa; Mollusca; Bivalvia; Pectinida; Pectinidae. The transcript has 6 exons. The record is from RefSeq and is a predicted model, not a curated record.